This 446-nucleotide ribosomal RNA is filed under the name uncultured bacterium. Its description in RNAcentral is "bacterial SSU rRNA". It matches the Rfam family "Bacterial small subunit ribosomal RNA", at positions 330 to 792 of the family's 1533-position model. The record is from RNAcentral.
UCCAGACUCCUACGGGAGGCAGCAGUGGGGGAUAUUGCACAAUGGGGGGAACCCUGAUGCAGCGACGCCGCGUGGGUGAAGGAGCGUUUCGGCGCGUAAAGCCCUAUCGGCAGGGAAGAAGGAGGACGGUACCUGACUAAGAAGCCCCGGCUAGCUACGUGCCAGCAGCCGCGGUAAUACGUAGGGGGCAAGCUUUAUCCGGAUUUACUGGGUGUAAAGGGGGCGCAGACGGCAGCGCAAGCCAGGAGUGAAAGCCCGGGGCCCAACCCCGGGACUGCUCUUGGAACUGCGCGGCUGGAGUGCAGGAGGGGCAGGCGGAAUUCCUGGUGUAGCGGUGAAAUGCGUAGAUAUCAGGAGGAACACCGGUGGCGAAGGCGGCCUGCUGGACUGCGACUGACGUUGAGGCCCGAAAGCGUGGGGAGCAAACAGGAUUAGAUACCCCUGUA